UACGUAGGGUGCAAGCGUUGUCCGGAAUUAUUGGGCGUAAAGAGCUCGUAGGCGGUCUGUCACGUCGGACGUGAAAAUCCAGGGCUCAACCCUGGACCGGCGUUCGAUACGGGCAGACUAGAGUUCGGUAGGGGAGACUGGAAUUCCUGGUGUAGCGGUGAAAUGCGCAGAUAUCAGGAGGAACACCGGUGGCGAAGGCGGGUCGCUGGGCCGAAACUGACGCUGAGGAGCGAAAGCGUGGGGAGCAAACAGG
RNAcentral lists this ribosomal RNA (253 nucleotides) under uncultured bacterium. Its description in RNAcentral is "partial 16S ribosomal RNA". It matches the Rfam family "Bacterial small subunit ribosomal RNA", at positions 524 to 776 of the family's 1533-position model. The record is from RNAcentral.